UGGUGGGGUGUUUUAAUUAUAAGCUUAGGCAUGUAAUAGGGCCAUUCUUUUAGCCGACUAUAUAAUAAAUUGAUUUGUCAGGUGAUCUCUUUUUGUUAACUGCACUCUAAUAUCUGCAUUCCUUCUGAACUUGACAAUAAAAACUGGUUAUCUAUUAAAUAAAUCGGAUUUCAGGAAAAACUCAUAGCCAUUUUUUCGGAUAAUCUCCCCCCACCCCUUUUCUCUCUCGCCCUUGUCAUUGCCCUCAGUAUAAAUAGAUGAUUGGUGCAACAAAAUCUUCACCAAUCUGGAUUUGCUAGAAGAUGACGAAUAGGUAUCACCAUGGUGUAGAUUCUGUUGCAAUGUGUACAAGAAAAUGCAGCUGUGCUUGUGUAUAUUUGAAUUUUCAAUUUCCACAACUUAUUCCAUUUGAUACAUUUUUCAGGUUGAAAAGGCUUUCAGAGAA
RNAcentral lists this unclassified non-coding RNA (445 nucleotides) under Hevea brasiliensis (rubber tree). Lineage: Eukaryota; Viridiplantae; Streptophyta; Magnoliopsida; Malpighiales; Euphorbiaceae. The record is from RNAcentral.